GCGAUCUUACUUGAACAGGAUCUGUUCUAUAGACUCGCACCUCCGAAGCCUUUAGCACUAAAUUGACAGAAUCUCAAGUCUGGAUGAUGAGCCACGACCUUGUGAUUAGAGCGUGAUUAACAGCUUCCUUGGUCCCUCGGGGCCAAUCCAAAGCCGUAGAGGAUCGUUCUUAGCUUAGUGUUCAUCUGGCUGGGAUGGUCACAAGGUUGUCUGACAGACC
RNAcentral lists this small nucleolar RNA (220 nucleotides) under Corchorus capsularis. RNAcentral's name for it is "snoRNA Plant_U3". It matches the Rfam family "Plant small nucleolar RNA U3". From Rfam's summary of the family: Small nucleolar RNAs (snoRNAs) are involved in the processing and modification of rRNA in the nucleolus. There are two main classes of snoRNAs: the box C/D class, and the box H/ACA class. U3 snoRNA is a member of the box C/D class. The record is from Rfam by way of RNAcentral. Lineage: Eukaryota; Viridiplantae; Streptophyta; Magnoliopsida; Malvales; Malvaceae.